UUGGAGCUGGAAGCUCAAACUAUGGUAGGCAUGCUUUGGCGGUCAGAAAGUGGGAUGCCUUCACACUAUUUUGCCAUUAUCUCAUGGUUUAGCAGCAUGAUCAUAAGGCAUCACUGGAAAUAUCUCUUGCAUUCUGGGUACUGGAAUGCCUGAUCUGUUCUCAAUCAAUAUAUCAGUUUUGUAUUGUGGCUACUGGAAUACCUGAUCUGUUCUCAAUGCAUAUCAGUCUAUUUAGGAAAAAGGAUAUAUUGUUUUGCACUUCAUUAGUUGGAUAAAACCAUCUGCCUGUUUCUUGGUUCGCUUUGAGCUAGAUUUUUUAUGAAGACUACAGAGAGGCUUUUCAGUGACCUUUAGCAUCAUUUCAAUGGAAGUGAUGUUAGGGGAACAAUCAACAUUGAUCCACCUCAUUAGAGGCAGUUAUCCCACACAUAUACCACUCUAGACCAUGUGUUUGUGUGGAUAGGGCAUUCCUCCUCUGUUUAUUCACUUUAGACCAUGUGUUUGAUUGGAUAUCCCAUUAGGUCCUGGAUCUAAUGAGACCUAAUCAAGGGGUCCAUCGAUCUUGCUCGAUAGGUGUUUGAUGGAAUGCCGGUGAAGAUUUUAAUCUUGUGGAAUGGCAGGUCAUGAUUCUCUUCAAUUCAUGAUUCUCUUCUUCUAUAUUUUUUUAGACAUAUUUAGUUGGUUGUAAGUAUGCCUUUGGUCGAGAGAUUGUUGUUGUUAAUCCUUGUUCACUAACCAAGCAAGGGCCAUGUUUGAUUGAAUUUGAUGUACAUUGUAGCUGCCAAGUGGCUGCCAUGUGUGUGUGUGUGUGUGUGUGUGUGUGACCAGUUUCAAGUGCAUUGCAGGCAGGUAGGACAGAGACAUGCCUAUGAUAACUUGAUGAAUGUAGAUGGCAUGGGCUGGGGCUGUAAUCAGAGAAAGAAAAAUGUUGGUGUUCUAAGUUGCUAAGAUUUAGCAAAUAGAAUUAGAUUUCAAAAUUUGUCCAACUGUGGCACUUCAUGUGAGAUCUGGCAGGCAAUCCAAGGCCUUUAUAUGUGUGGCGUCCUGAAAAUGAGGCUGGACACCCCACCAGAUAUAGGCCCCAUUAACAAUGUUAGGUUACCCAAAAUUAGCCUUGUUUUUUUUUUUUUUUUUCAACUACACUGCUGUACUUAGGAUGGCCUUUCCCAAUUUAGCCUGUUAGUCCUUUCAGAUUAUUAAUAUAGUAUUUUUGCUAAGGCUGACAUUAGCACAUAAACCCCAUAACCAGCUUUUUUGGGAACAAGAGUGGGGUUUGGGCUACUUUGAUUGGCCUUAUGAGGAGAAAUGUAUGAAUAAAUUGGAUUUUGGUAUGAUUUUACAGGGUUUACUGGUUCCUCUGUUUUUGUUUUUUUUUUUCCAUGCUUCUUCACUGGUACUUCUGUAUGUAAUAAGUGAAGAAAUUUGGACAAAAUUCUCAUCAUCUGAUAUGUAACCGAAGGUGAAUUUUGGAAGUAUUGCAUUUAUGUAGAGCAAUAGAUGACUAUUCCCAGGGAUCUUUUGGGGUUUUAUUCCUUUUUCCUUCUCAUUGCAUCUAUCAGUUGGCAUUGAUGUUUUGUUUGGAGCUGAACCUUUCUGAUUGUCUUGCAUUAGCGUGGAUCUGAUACUUGAUGCAGUAGGAAAGUCCAUAAUAAUGAUAUAAAUGAUUGAGUGAUUGAACUGAUAUUUGGAAUAAAAUGUCUCCAUUCCAUGCUAAGGCUUCCUUAUCAAAAGCCAGCUGUAAAAUACAGAAUAUUGUUACUGUAUCAGUAUCUUAUGCACAAAUUUUUUUAUCAUUCUUUGCACUGCAGUUUGAAUGGGAUAGCUAUCCAAAUAAGAACUUUUUUGAAUUUUUGCUUAUUUUACUAUUCCAUUAUCCAUUUAUUUCUAAUCUCUUCCUCUAUGAACUUGUGCACAUUUGAUGUAACCAGACCGUCCGGUGUAUAGACUGCUCAUUGUGAAAAUUAAUUUCUGCAGUUCAUUUUCCAUUGGAUCAGCUCUUCUUUUUUUCUGAAAGAUCCAAUGGAUCAACUUUUUUUUUUUUUUCUGAAAGAUCCAGUGGAUCAGCUCAUUCUCUUCCUUUUUAUUAAAACUGUGACUUUUUCCUUCUAAAAGUGAGAAAUAACAGAUUGAUUUUAUGUUCUUUAUUGUGAAUUGAGCAAAUUACAAAACUAGAAUCAUCUUGUCUUCUACCUUACCUUCUCACUAUUGAAACUGGAUGUCAUAUCUGGGAAACUCUGAAGUUUGUUAUGUCGUGACUGAUGUAACUAGCCAAACAAAAGCACUACUGAUUCAGUUAUAAUACAGUAGAAGGUUCUACACAGAUGAUCUUGACUUUUCUUGUUUGUGAUCUGUCGUUAUUUUAUCAUUACUUUCAUUUCAUUGGUGUCAUGUUCAAGUGUUCAGGCAAUUUUAUAUGCUCCAAAGAUGAGAUGCAUCAGGUUUUCUGUUUGUUACUGUUAUUAGGUGGGAGGGCGAAAAUCAGCCUGCAAAUGAGAAGGGUAAGCUGUGUUGCACGGAAAGCCCCAAGUUUUAGUGGUCCACUAAUGCUUUCAAACCGAGCUUCUGCAAACAGUUUAUCCUUUUGACUGUGAGGGCCCAACAUGCCUUUUCUACUUAAAGUGCCUCUUGUUCUUGUUCUUGUGUUUGUUGAGGGCCCAAUAUGCCUUAUCUACUUAACGCUUAUUGGUGGUUGUAGGAACUUUCUUCAUAACAUGUCAUUUGCCACUAACAUGUGGGUGGAAGCACUGUUGGUUGUGGAUGCUUUUACUCAGUUUUCCAUCAUUCAUUGUAAUACAAUCAUGCCUCAAUGUUCGAAUGACCAAGCCCAAUCUUCUAGAUUCUUUUGAUUUUCUUUAGCGGCUUUGUAGUUAUGGGAUUGAUUUCUUGUCUUUGCCUGUUUUCAUUCUUAAUAAUUUAACAUUUUCUUUCAAAAGAAAUGCAUCAAAUUAUGAAGCUGACUUAUUGAUCUGCAUUCCUGCCAAUCUACAGGAGCUGCAAAAGGGAGAGGACUGCUAGGUCAGAUUUUGGAAGGGCUGCCCAUGUUGAUUUAUUAGACAUCAAACAGAGAUUUUUCCCUUCAUUUCUUAGAUUAUGUAGAAAAUAUAAGGGUUAAUUUAAUCAAUUAAAAACUAUAUGAACUAUGAUCAUUUCACAUUAUAAGGUGUUCUCCUAUUGCACAAUAAAUUACAAAGGAAUCUUAAUUCGCUCAUUAAACCAAAGAUCACAAGAUGAUUACCUUUUGGAUCCUUGAAAACAAAUAUUCAAAUACUCGAGGGGUCAUCCCACAAUUAACACUAUGUCUUCGAGUGCCUCCCUCAAUGUCCCCCAACAUUGUAUGGGUCUUUCCACUGCCAGUCUACAAAAACCACAUACUUUAAGAUAUUGUGCUUCCUCCAGCUAAUCACCUAAACAUUAAUUAAUUACAUCUUACAUGUUCAUGAAACUUUCUAAAUUAAAUAUUUCUUUUUCAUCCUUUUUUUUUUUUUCACAAAACUCUCCAUAGCAAUCCACUAUUGGUACUAUUUAUUUUUUGCUGAAAUUGAUGCAAUCAGAACUCAACAUAUUAAAAUCAAUGGAUUUUAAAUUAGGGACAAGCACUUUUGAAAUUUAAGGAUCAUGGAAGCCACUUUUUAAGAUUUCAAAAUCUCUUUCAAUACUUCAUCAUUCUCUAUUUUUCUAUCUUUAGAAUAGAUGAGAAUUUUUAAUAUCAAUAUUUUAUUCAUAUUUUUUUUGUGAACUCAAAAUUGUUAGCCAUGUUGUCUAUUACCACUUCUUCCUUUCCCAUGGAAGUGCUACAGAAUCUUUCACUUUAGACCUCAUUUAGUUCAUCAAUAUUAUCUUUAAAAAAAUCAAAUUUGAUCAUUUCAUCUUCAUGAAGCUCAUAUAUAUACUUUAAAAAUUUCUAUCCAAAAGUUUACUGGCACAUGUAAAACUUUUUUUUAAUAAGAAAGUUCUUUGAUUUAUUCUAAAUCUGAAAAGGAUAAAUCAAAUUCUUUACGAACGUUUGUUUUUCCUUAUACUUUGAUCUUUUACACCUUAUACCUUUUUAGAAACAAUGUAAUGACACAUGAAUUUUCUACAUGCGUAGGUAAGAGGAUCGAGAUCUACAUUUACAGAAAAAAUGAUUUGAGUAAUUGGACUGAUCACAACUAAUAUUGCUUUAAAUCUUCAUGCUAUAAGAGUUCAUGUCUCCAUAGACACCAUGUUUCAUUGAAAUACUAUAGAAUUCAUGUUUAUCUGAAGUACACCGUAAACAUAGCAAAAGUCCAAAUGCAUUACCUCUUCCAUGUUUGAACCGAUUACAAUUUCUUGCAUUGCCGGUCCCAAGCCCGGGUAAAGGAGGAGGGAGAAGGGCGUCAAGGUGAGUUGUAUCAUUUUCUUCCAUAUUUCUUUAAUGCAGUAGUGCUAGGUUGAAAUUUUCAGCAUUUCUACAGGUUGAGAAGUGGGUCGAUCCAAAAUUCUGCUGACAGUGUAAUUCUUCUUAUUGAUGCUUGUGGAGGGGAUGACACUCUUGCUUUUGCAAGAAAUUCUAAUAAGGAAAUGGAACGAGCCAGCCAUGAUAUCUUUGUGGGCAAUGUAAGGCCUUGGGAUUCUUUGCUCAAGGCAAUUGAUUUUGGGUUGUCUAUGUUCUUUAAACCUGCUGAAAUACCAUGAUACUGGCAAAGAAAAAGGUUGUUUGCCUCAGGUCGGUCAGUGGAAUAUGAAGAACAAGAAAAUGAUAAAUGGAAGCACUGUAAACUACUGGGCUUGUAUCAACUUUUCACGGAGUGUUCAAGAAAGUACUGCUUGUUGCUUUUGCCAGGAGCUGGCGCAGAUGUGCCAAGUCUCUGGCAUGGAAUUUAGCCGUGAACCUGUUAUUCCAAUCUACUCGGCAAGGCCUGAUCAAGUAGAGAAGCCCUGAAAUAUGUAUAUAACGCAGCAACAAACAAGCUCAAAGGAAAAGAGUUAGAGCUACUUUUAGCCAUUCUUCCAGACAACAAUGGCCCUUUGUAUGGUAUGUUUGUGCCUGUGGUUUUAGGCAUGGAUGAAUGGGAGCUAGAUCGAUGGAUUUUCUUUAUUUAUUUAUUUAUUUUUUUGAAACUAUUUAAUUUAUUAUUGUAAAUAUUAUUCGCGGCAGCUCGAUGCAUGUGAAAGGGCCACAUAGGCAUGUAUUCUUUUUUAUAGGAAAACAAUCACUAGGCACAAUCUACUUCCUAAGAGGAAUGUGAAAUCAGGUGGGCCUUGACCAAAA
Molecule: long non-coding RNA, 5230 nt
Organism: Magnolia sinica
Lineage: Eukaryota; Viridiplantae; Streptophyta; Magnoliopsida; Magnoliales; Magnoliaceae
Exons: 7
Source: RefSeq, a predicted model, not a curated record